AUUGAACGCUGGCGGCGUGCCUAAUACAUGCAAGUCGAACGGAGUGGCGCACGGGUGAGUAAUAUAUAGCUAAUCUGCCCCUUGCUGGAGGUAAACAGUGGGAAAUGACUGCUAAUACUCCAUAGGAAGGGAUGAGACUAUAUCGUAUCAGCUAGUCGGUGGGGUAACGGCCUACCGAGGCUAUGACGCGUAACUGGUCUGAGAGGAUGAUCAGUCACAUCGGAAGUGAGGAACGGUCCAAGCACCUAGCGGAGGGGGCAGUAGGGUGUUGUGCGCAAGGUGGGAAUCUCUGGACGGGCAUCGCGUUGUGGAGGAUGUUACUUUUGGGGGAAUGAGUUCCUUUUGUUACGGAAACGUUACCUAACGAAUAAGCACCGGCUAACUCCGUGCCAGCAGCCGCGGUAAUUC
Molecule: ribosomal RNA, 408 nt
Filed under: uncultured bacterium
Lineage: Bacteria
Description: partial 16S ribosomal RNA
Rfam family: Bacterial small subunit ribosomal RNA
Source: RNAcentral